AAUCCAAUUACUCUACGAUAUUCUAUAUUCUUCGACUAAGGUUCGACUCGAGCGAAGCGAGAGAACGUUGCCGCAGGCAACGGCCCGAAGGGCGAGGCGCUUUAGCGCCGAGUAAUCCUUCCCCCACCA
RNAcentral lists this small RNA (129 nucleotides) under Klebsiella pneumoniae. RNAcentral's name for it is "RtT sRNA". It matches the Rfam family "RtT RNA". From Rfam's summary of the family: This family represents a bacterial cis-regulatory element known as RtT RNA. The exact function of RtT is unknown although it is thought that it may be involved in changing the cellular response in relation to amino acid starvation. Lineage: Bacteria; Pseudomonadati; Pseudomonadota; Gammaproteobacteria; Enterobacterales; Enterobacteriaceae. The record is from RNAcentral.